UACGGAGGGUGCGAGCGUUACCCGGAUUUACUGGGUGUAAAGGGCGUGUAGGCGGUCUCUCAAGUCCGAUGCUAAAGACCGAAGCUCAACUUCGGGGGUGCGUUGGAUACUGUGAGGCUAGACGGUCGGAGGGGGUAGCGGAAUUUCCGGAGUAGCGGUGAAAUGCGCAGAUACCGGAAGGAACGCCGAUAGCGAAGGCAGCUACCUGGACGAUUGUUGACGCUGAGGCGCGAAAGCGUGGGGAGCAAACCGG
RNAcentral lists this ribosomal RNA (253 nucleotides) under uncultured bacterium. RNAcentral describes it as "partial 16S ribosomal RNA". It matches the Rfam family "Bacterial small subunit ribosomal RNA", at positions 524 to 776 of the family's 1533-position model. The record is from RNAcentral.